RNAcentral lists this transfer RNA (64 nucleotides) under Cipangopaludina chinensis. RNAcentral describes it as "tRNA-Gln". Lineage: Eukaryota; Metazoa; Mollusca; Gastropoda; Architaenioglossa; Viviparidae. The record is from RNAcentral.
UAUUAAACAGUGUCGGUGCACAAAGAACUUUGAAUUCUUAAGAAGGGUUAUACCCUUUUAAUAA